Molecule: ribosomal RNA, 253 nt
Filed under: uncultured bacterium
Lineage: Bacteria
Description: partial 16S ribosomal RNA
Rfam family: Bacterial small subunit ribosomal RNA
Source: RNAcentral
GACAGAGGUGCCGAGCGUUAGGCGGAAUCCCUGGGCUUAAAGCGUGUGUAGGCGGGUCGUUAAGUGUCUUGUGAAAUCCCACCGCUCAACGGUGGAACUGCUGGGCAUACUGGCGAUCUUGAGCCACCUAGGGGCAGACGGAACAAGCGGUGGAGCGGUGAAAUGCGUAGAUAUCGCUUGGAACGCCGACGGUGAAAACAGUCUGCUGGGGGUGUGCUGACGCUGAGACACGAAAGCCAGGGGAGCGAACGGG